RNAcentral lists this ribosomal RNA (981 nucleotides) under uncultured bacterium. Its description in RNAcentral is "bacterial SSU rRNA". It matches the Rfam family "Bacterial small subunit ribosomal RNA", at positions 502 to 1474 of the family's 1533-position model. The record is from RNAcentral.
UACGUGCCAGCAGCGNGUAAUACGUAGGGGGCGAGCGUUGCCCGAAUUUACUGGCGUAAAGGGCACGUNGCGUUCCGUAAGUCUGGUGUGAAAUCUCUCGGCUCAACUGGGAGGCUGCACCAGAUACUGCGGAACUCGAGGACGGGAGAGGAGAUUGGAAUUCCCGGUGUAGCGGUGAAAUGCGUUGAUAUCGGGAGGAACACCAGUGGCGAAGGCGGAUCUCUGGCCCGUUCCUGACGCUAAGGUGCGAAAGCUGGGGGAGCGAAAGGGAUUAGAUACCCCUGUAGUCCCAGCCCUAAACGAUGGGCGCUAGGUGUUGGGGGGAUUACCCCUCAGUGCCGAAGCUAACGCAUUAAGCGCCCCGCCUGGGGAGUACGGCCGCAAGGCUGAAACUCAAAGGAAUUGACGGGGGCCCGCACAAGCGGUGGAGCAUGUGGAUUAAUUCGAUACUAACCGAAGAACCUUACCUGGGCUUGACAUGCACGGGAAAGCCCCUGGAAACAGGAGCCCUCCACGGGGAAACUCGUGGACUCGUGCACACCGGUUGCAUGGCUGUCGUCAGCUCGUGCCGUGAGGUGUUGGGUUAAGUCCCGCAACGAGCGCAACCCCUGUCCCCUGUUGCCAGCGGGUCAUGCCGGGCACUCUGGGGAGACUGCCGUGGUCAACACGGAGGAAGGUGGGGAUGACGUCAAGUCAGCAUGGCGGUUACGCCCAGGGCUUCACACAUGCUACAAUGGGCGGUACAAAGGGCAGCGAACGCGCGAGCGGGAGCUAAUCCCAAAAAACCGCCCUCAGUUGGGAUCGCAGUCUGCAACUCGACUGCGUGAACGCGGAAUCGCUAGUAACGGCGGGUCAGCCAUACCGCCGUGAAUACGUUCCCGGGCCUUGUACACACCGCCCGUCAAGUCACCCGAGUCGGCUGCACCCGAAGUCGGUCGCCCAACCCGCAAGGGAGGGAGCCGCCGAAGGUGUGGCUGGUAA